AGGCCCUCGUACUGAUGCUGAUACUGCACUUGUUGCACAACUGAAUUACCGCUUAUUAGACUGAAAUACCACUUAUUAGACUGAAUUACAGCUAAUUAGAGUGAAUUACCACUUAUUAGACUGAAUUACCGCUUAUUAGACUGAAUUAUCGCUUUUUCGACUGAAUUAGCUACCGCUUAUUAGGCUGAAUUACCAUUUAUUAGAUUAAAUUAACACAUAUUAGACUGAAUUAGCUACCGUUUAUUAGACUGAAUUGCUGUUUAUUAGAUUGAAUUAGCUACUGCUUAUUAGACUGAAUUACCUGUUAUUAGACUGAAUUACAGUUUAUUAGUCUGAAAUACAGCUUAUUAGACUGAAUGAGCUACCGCUUAUUAGACUGAAUUAGCCACUGCUUAUUAGACUGAAAUACCGCUUAUCAGACUGAAUUAGCCACUGCUUAUUAGACUGAAAUACCGCUUAUCAGACUGAAUUAGCUACUGCGUAGUAGACUGAAAUAUCGCAUAUCAGACUGAAUUAGCUACUGCGUAGUAGACUGAAAUAUCGCUUAUCAGACUAAAUUAGCUACUGCUUAUUAGACUGAAUUACCGUUUAUCAGACUGAAUUAGCUACUGCGUAUUAGACUGAAUGACCUCUUAUUAGACUGAAUUAGCUACUGCUUAUUAGGCUGAAUUACCGUUUAUCAGACUGAAUUAGCUACUGCGUAUUAGACUGAAUUACCGCUUAUUAGACUGAAUUAGCUACUGCUUAUUAGACUGAAUUACCGUUUAUCAGACUGAAUUAGCUACUGCGUAUUAGACUGAAUUACCUCUUAUUAGACUGAAUUAGCUACUGCUUAUUAGGCUGGAUUACCGUUUAUCAGACUGAAUUAGCUACUGCUUAUGAGACUGAAUUACCAUUUAUCAGAAUGAAUUAGCUAUUGCGUAUUAGACUGAAUUACCUCUUAUUAGACUGAAUUAGCUACUGCUUAUUAGACUGAAAUACCGCUUAUUAGACUGAAUUAGCUACUGCUUAUUAGACUUAAAUACCGCUUAUCAGACUGAAUUAGCUACUGCGUAUAAGACUGAAUUACCGCUUAUCAGACUGAAUUAGCUACUGCUUAUUAGACUGAAAUACCGCUUAUUAGACUGAAUUAGCUACUGCUUAUUAGACUGAAAUACCGCUUAUCAGACUGAAUUAGCUACUGCGUAUAAGACUGAAUUACCGCUUAUUAGACUGAAUUAGCUACUGCUUAUUAGACUGAAAUACCGCUUAUCAGACUGAAUUAGCUACUGCGUAUAAGACUGAAUUACCGCUUAUCCGACUGAAUUUGCUACUGCUUAUUAGACUGAAUUACUGCUUAUCAGACUGAAUUAGCUACUGCGUAUAAGACUGAAUUACUGCUUAUUAGACUGAAUUACCUCUUAAUGUGGUGAAUUAUGUUUCUCAUUGAGUUCAAUAUUACUAAGAUAGGCUUAUGCUGUUCUGAGGGUGUCCUAGUUGUGGUGUGGAUUGAAAUGUGGAGUCAAGAGAAUGUGUUGUGCACGAUUUAAUUGUCUUUUAAUGGCCUCUUACAAGACUGUGACAGAGUGAAGCGACAUGCUAGAGUAUCAUAAAGAAACAGAAACGGACAAAGAGAAGGACAAUGUGCUCUUGGUUUUCUACAACAGCCCUCAAAAUCCUCACAGAGACACAGACCAGCACUUGAGUCUCUUCAACAACUCACCAACAAGAGAACAACUCAUUCCACUCCACUCAAUGUGACGCGAGAACGUACCCGUGAUCCCCAUACACUAUUUACAACCCGAGUCCACUUUUUCUCUAAGGCAGAUGUUGAAAGCACCCAGUGAGCUGUCACUAUGAAAACACAACAUGGCAGUUGUUUUUCAGUAGACGUGGCUACGCAGUAGAGAGAACAAAUGAGAGACAGAAGAAUUCAAAAAGAAUCCCAGAGCUCUGGAUUCCAUGGCUUCGUCCCAAAUGCAACCCUAUUCCCUUUAUAGUGCACUACUUUUGACCAGGACCCAUAGUGGACUAUGUAGGGAAUAGGGUGCCCUUUGGGACGAAACCCAUGGCUCGCGCCACUCUACCCCAGCCACAAAAUGUUUAUGAAGCACUGAAAGCAGGAAGCCAAUCAAACAACUCUGUUUUUGCAUGAAAGUUAAUCUCUCUUAACAGACCUUGGCUUCAAAGUUUACUUACUCAUAUUAAAAAGUGUCUGGGUAAAUUGGGAACAUCGAGCCAUCAACAUUUGGUUUAAUGGGGAUCACCCCUUUUCAUCAGCUGAUAUUGACUUCAUGAUCGAAGCAUAGCUUUCUCAUGCAGUUACCAGAUUGAAGAAGAUGUUGGUCAUCUGUAGGUUUAUUGUCCAGUCAUACGAUGACAUUUACUGGCUGACAGUUCAUUGAAUUUCUCAUUGAUUAUCAUUCAACCCCAUUGCCAUGUUCUACAAUUUGAUGGAACCCAAAGAAACAUUUAGCUAGGCCUAUAUCUUCCACAUUACAGACGAAUAAUUCAACGGGAGGACUUGAUAGCAAUAGUCAUAUUUGUGUUUCCUCUUCACACUAACCAACUUCGACAGGCCCAAUCAGAGGUAGAUCUAGAAGCUUAGAGGUGCGUGCUCUGCUCUACUCCGCUCACAGGGACAGUUUAUCCCAAAUGGCCACAUUUGAGACGCAACCAUGGAAUAGAAUGCCUCCGCUAUGCAAUCAGAGGCUCCCCAGGUCAGUAUGAAACACCAACUGAAGUCUUCAGAGGAACAGACACCAAAACCCUAGAGCUGGACAGUUAUAGUGCCUGUUUAAUAUACAGUUGGGGUCAUUACUUCUAUAGGGGAUUUUUUGAUUUAAGGGAGACAGAUACGUCAUUGUGCCGUGGUUAAUGUCCGUCCGGAUUUAACCAUCAUCUAGAGUGCGGUAUCAUUCACAGAGGGAGGUGAGGUAGCUAGAACUGGGUUUUGUUUUUCAUUGGUUCGACUGCAUCAGGGUUGUCACUAAUGACUAAUAGAGGGCUCUCUCUCCUAUUUCUCUGCGGUCACAUCCUCUUGCAUGAAGAGAGUGAGUGAUUGAGUGAGAGUGAGAGAAAAUGAGAGUGAGAGUAAGGUAGAGCGAGAGAAAGAAAGAGAAGAGAAGAGAGAGCGUGUGCGAAGAGAUAAGCAGAACAUUGGCUUAUAAUGAUCUCUACCCAAGACAGAGGAGCUGGAGAUCCGUGAGAGACCUUUCUAGCUCCAUUAACCACAGUACACUACCUCCCUGACGAUCACAGAGACACCGUCAACACAUCGUUAAUUGCGGUCGACGUCAGCGGGCACAGUGUCAAUCUUCUGUGAAAAACUGUUUCAAGAAAAAAGUUGACUUGGAUGCCACUGAAAAUGUGGUGAUUAUUUUCAGAUUGCGAAGUUGUGUGACCGUUUCAAAUCAAGCCAAACUUGAUGAAUGAUUUACUCUAAAUGCAACUCAAUAAUUGAGAACUGACAUUGAUGCAUGAUUCAUGAUAAACCACAGUGCAACAUUAUGCAUAUUCAAGCAUACCCCAUAAGGGAUACUUGACCAAUUAUCGGAUGUGUUAUUGAAUAGCAUCAAUCACUAAAGGCUCAUGAAUUAUGAAUUGAUAGUUUGUUCAAAGUGGAAAUGUAUUUUUCUCUUUGUCUGAAGCACCACAACAGCCCCAUAUGCAAGUAAACAGUCCAUUAAUGUGUUGGGGUUAGAAAACCUCGCUGUGGUAAACAUCUCCACGCGUUGCCAUCGCAAUCUGGGUCUGUUCAUCAGCAAACACAUAAACACAGAAACGACAGGAAUUUAGUUCCUGACUGCAGCCAAAUCUCUCUCUCUCUCUCUCUCUGGACGAUAUCCCAUUCGUUUAUUCGCCCGUGUUGUAAAGAAAACAUCUGUUUGCUCCACUGGGGGGAAAAUAUAUUGUGAGGAAUUUAGGGCAGGAAUGCUCAUUCUAUUCAAUCUAUCUCCAAUAGUUUGCUGCUGUGAUGUCAAACAACAUCUCUAGCUUUCAAAUCUGCAGAAUACUGGUAUGUUCUUCUUAUGUACAGAUACAGGAUCUAAAUUUGACCAGUUUCUCACAGCAGGAAAAUAAUCCUGCAGCAACAGCAAAUAUAGAGGUUGAUACAUUUUUAGUUAGGGCAAAUCAAGUCGGACAUUUUUAAGUGGGAAUUACAAACUUUAGAAGCUUUUAAAACCUUGAAUACAUUACGAGUUUGCAUUUCCUGCUGUACAGGAAAUUUCCUGCAACAAGAGGGUGAUCAAAUUAAGAUCCUACAUCUGUAAGCUCUUGAGAAAAGUGUUCCAUACCAUCCGAUCCAGGGGGUUACAACAUCAACGUCUCCACACAGACGACUAGCCGAAAAUAGUAACAUUUCACAAUCUGUUAACAAGUGCUGACAACUCACAAAUGAUAGCAACCAGGGAUAUAAAACACAUCUGUCUUUAGAACACCUACAUGUGUUCAGAUCAGAUCACAUCAUGCCUCUUCCUGGGUUGGGGUCAAUUCCAUUCCGAUUCAGGAAGCGCCUCCUGAAUUGACUGAAUGGAAAUAUAACUGACCUCAAUCCUGGUCUCUCAAUAAGAAUAUGGUGAACUGACAUGGAAAUGCUAAAUGUGUGUAAUGUGUAUGUUUUUAUGCUUUUAAUGUAUGUUUUUAUGUCUGUUUUUAUCCUUUCAAUGCCAAGAGUGCCAAAGCCAAUGUUCAAUUUUGUGCAAUAAAGUUUUGUAAUGUACACUGAACAAAAAUAUAAGUGCAACAUGUCCCAUGUUUCAUGAGCUGAAAUAAAAGAUCCCAAAAAGGUUCCAUAAUA
This is a long non-coding RNA of Oncorhynchus nerka (sockeye salmon), 4780 nucleotides long. RefSeq lists it as uncharacterized. NCBI's taxonomy places the organism in Eukaryota, Metazoa, Chordata, Actinopteri, Salmoniformes, Salmonidae. The record is from RefSeq and is a predicted model, not a curated record. The transcript is spliced from 2 exons.